UACGAAGGGGGCUAGCGUUGCUCGGAAUCACUGGGCGUAAAGCGCACGUAGGCGGAUUGCUAAGUCAGGGGUGAAAUCCUGGAGCUCAACUCCAGAACUGCCUUUGAUACUGGGGAUCUCGAGUCCGGAAGAGGUGAGUGGAACUCCGAGUGUAGAGGUGAAAUUCGUAGAUAUUCGGAAGAACACCAGUGGCGAAGGCGACUCACUGGACAUGUAUUGACGCUGAGGUACGAAAGCGUGGGGAGCAAACAGG
This 253-nucleotide ribosomal RNA is filed under the name uncultured bacterium. RNAcentral describes it as "partial 16S ribosomal RNA". It matches the Rfam family "Bacterial small subunit ribosomal RNA", at positions 524 to 776 of the family's 1533-position model. The record is from RNAcentral.